Molecule: ribosomal RNA, 254 nt
Filed under: uncultured bacterium
Lineage: Bacteria
Description: partial 16S ribosomal RNA
Rfam family: Bacterial small subunit ribosomal RNA
Source: RNAcentral
UACGGGGGGAGCAAGCGUUGUUCGGAUUUACUGGGCGUAAAGGGCGCGUAGGCGGCCAGCACAAGUCAGUUGUGAAAUCUCCGAGCUUAACUCAGAAAGGUCAACUGAUACUGUGCGGCUAGAGUGCGGAAGGGGCAACUGGAAUUCUUGGUGUAGCGGUGAAAUGCGUAGAUAUCAAGAGGAACACCUGCGGCGAAGGCGGGUUGCUGGGCCGACACUGACGCUGAGGCGCGAAAGCCAGGGGAGCAAACGGG